UGCCUCCAAAUUCAGCACAAGGCCGCCCCACGUAAACACCGCCACGCCGCCACGUCCCCAGCUGAGGCUUUCCCCGGCGGCCGCUCCUUGCCCACGCCUCCCCCUGUGGCCUUCCCCGGGUGUGAUUUCGUCCCGUACCCUUCCAGGCCUUCACCAGGUGGUGGAAACAAAAUGCGUCAACUAAAGGGAAAGGUAAAAGAAACGGCAAAAGAAAGAAAGGAAAGGAAGAAAGAAUUUAUGGAGAACAAGGAUAAAGCAUUCACCAUUGCCCUGCCAGUGCUGGGAGUCAUCUUCCUCCUCAUUGCCCUCCUGGUGUACUUCAAGACCAGACCAAAAGAUAUGGAGCUCUAAAGCCACCCUUGAGACCAUCCCUCCCCAUCAUGAACGGAGUAAAGGUACCCAUUUCUUGACCAGUCCUAAGGGAGGAUGAGCACCUGGUUGGGCUGUGCACAAACUCUCCAAGCCGGUAUUCAAACCCAGACCCACGGACUCAUAGCCAGGUGUGCUAACCACUUCACCAUGAUGGUGGAUCUGUAUUUUUGUCUGGAACUGUAUCCAAGAUUACUGUGCAGUUAUCAGGGUUUAUCUUUUAUUGCAAGAUGUUUGAAGUUAAUACUAGUUGUUUGUUUUGAGUGUUUGUUUGAAAAAGGAGUGUAGUUAUUACUAAUCAACUUCUCCCCCUCAAGCCCCAACUGAUGAGUAAUGAAAAUCAUUUGUCAUGCACAAGGGAGCUGUGCUUCAUGGCAGACGAUGAUUUUUGUACCAAUGGUGCUGUAAACCUACCCUCCCAUGGUUUGUGUGUUAUGGCACCAUCUGUUUCUUUUCUUCUUACUUUGGUUGUGAAGACUUCAGAAGACAUCAGCUUUCACCAGUUGUCUGUAUACUAAUGCCCAAAGACAUUGUUCACAUGGAUGAUUUUCUUUUAAUAUUUGAACACUUAAUUUUAAUUUGAUUUGAUUUUUAUUUUGUUAAAUAUAUCCAUGUACAUUUUGAUGAAACUAUGAUUGGCUUAAUAACUUGAAACAAGCCUAGUUAAAGAUUUUAUUUAAAUCCAUCUCUUUCAUUGAUAUAUUUUAUCUCAUCUCAUAAGCUAAACAAUAAUAAAAUUCAGAUUAAAAACUAAAUAUUUACAGAUCAACAAAUAUUUUUGUAUACGUUGCAGUCACUCAUAAAGCUGUAUUUUUCAGGGAGGUAAUGAACCUGUCAUUUUUUAUAAAUAUAUUUUCUCAAACAAAA
Long non-coding RNA from Eriocheir sinensis (Chinese mitten crab), 1236 nucleotides. RefSeq lists it as uncharacterized. NCBI's taxonomy places the organism in Eukaryota, Metazoa, Arthropoda, Malacostraca, Decapoda, Varunidae. The record is from RefSeq and is a predicted model, not a curated record. The transcript is spliced from 4 exons.